CAUGCAAGUCGAACGGAAAGUGCCCAGCUUGCUGGGUGACUCGAGUGGCGAACGGGUGAGUAACACGUGGGUGAUCUGCCCUGCACUUUGGGAUAAGCCUGGGAAACUGGGUCUAAUACCGAAUACACCCUGCUGGUCGCAUGGCCUGGUGGGGGAAAGCUUUUGCGGUGUGGGAUGGGCCCGCGGCCUAUCAGCUUGUUGGUGGGGUGAUGGCCUACCAAGGCGACGACGGGUAGCCGGCCUGAGAGGGUGUCCGGCCACACUGGGACUGAGAUACGGCCCAGACUCCUACGGGAGGCAGCAGUGGGGAAUAUUGCACAAUGGGCGCAAGCCUGAUGCAGCGACGCCGCGUGAGGGAUGACGGCCUUCGGGUUGUAAACCUCUUUCAGUAGGGACGAAGCGUAAGUGACGGUACCUAUAGAAGAAGCACCGGCCAACUACGUGCCAGCAGCCGCGGUAAUACGUAGGGUGCGAGCGUUGUCCGGAAUUACUGGGCGUAAAGAGCUCGUAGGUGGUUUGUCGCGUUGUUCGUGAAAACUCACA
Molecule: ribosomal RNA, 543 nt
Filed under: uncultured Mycobacterium sp.
Lineage: Bacteria; Bacillati; Actinomycetota; Actinomycetes; Mycobacteriales; Mycobacteriaceae
Description: bacterial SSU rRNA
Rfam family: Bacterial small subunit ribosomal RNA
Source: RNAcentral